Long non-coding RNA from Meriones unguiculatus (Mongolian gerbil), 1630 nucleotides. The record is from Ensembl. Lineage: Eukaryota; Metazoa; Chordata; Mammalia; Rodentia; Muridae.
UGGGACGGGCGUGUAAAACACUCUUAUGAUUCUUACUUGACAGAUAAGGAAACUGAGUCUGGGUUGGGCAAGUGAGGGACCUGGGGCUUGAAUCAAGACUGUUCCUGGCUCUGACCUGUGAGGCUCUGUGGGCACCCUGACUUCCAGGGAAUCAUGGAACUCUGAAGAUGCAGCUGAAGUCAGGCUAGGUGAGCCUGGGGACAUUCUGAGGAUGACAGAGAGACGCCCGUGUACAUGUGAUGCAUUGAACGGCAGCCCAAGGAGACAUCUCUAACCACGGCCAUGGGCACUGGAACUGGGUGAAAAGGAGAGUCGGGUAAAGGCUUUUUUGGGUCAUGUUGGGAUCAACCAGGAGAAGAGUGCAGAUAGAAGGAUGCGGCCACAAGCCAAGACCUUCCUGGGCCCCAGAGCAGUCAGAGACGGGAAGGAGUCUCCCUGGGGAUCAAGGUGGUUGCUGACACCUUCCUUUCAGACUCUGGAGCAGGUGGCUGGGACUUUUCUUACUUGCGAAGACAGAGACAGCAAAUGGCCUCCUGAAACGGGAGCUUCCUGGAAGUGUCCCAAGAUUAAGUGUUCUAUAAAUGCUCCCCUCUUGGUUGGAACAGAAAAAUUAAAAUGUCUUUUGAUGCAACAAAGAGAGGAGCCAGUGGGACAAUGUCUUCACUGAGUGUCUGAGAAAGAAAAGCGAUUUUGAUUGGGCACAGCGCUGGACAUGGUGAGAAAUGAAAGUUUCCAGGGCCCUUGGCUGGUUAGUCCCUUCACAGCCAGCGGCUGAUGCGGGGCCCCUCACCCACAGUGUGGAGCUGCUUCUCUUUCCAUCAAGCCCAGAAAGUGGGGAGUUGAACACAAGAGUGGGGGCUACUGCACUCCAGACAAAGAGAGAAAAGGCCUGUUCAAUACUGGGUGGGACUAAUUAUUUGGGGUUUUGUGUGGUGCUGGGGAUUAAAUGCAGGGCCUGAGGCGCUCCUAUGUGCCAGGCCAGUGUUCCAGCCCUGAGCUACAGCCCAGUGCCCCCUUUCUGCUCUAUGCUAUGCAUAGUGUGCGUAAAAUACCAUCUGUCUUCUAUGGGGAUGCUGCUUGCCUUUGCCCAGACAGUACCCAGGGAGACUCUGGUCAGGACUGAGGAUGGAACCCAGGACCUCACAAUGCCAGGCAAACAUUCCGCCAGUGACACCCACAACUUCGUAUUUUGAGACAGUGUCUGUGAUGACCAUUCUUGGUUGUCAACUCGACUACGCCUGGAAUUAACUGGAACCCAAGCAGCUGGGCAAACCUGUGAGAGGCUUUUCUGGCUUGGAUCACUCGAGGUAGGAAGACCCACCUGAAAUCUGAACCGAACCUUCUGAUGGCAGACUCCAUAAAACAUGGAAGAAGCAAGUUUUUGCUCUUUGCUUGCUUGCCCUCACUUUGGCUUGCCAACUUCAUCUGACCUGUGACCGAGGCAUUCUUUCUUUUGUAUUAGAGCCUGCCUCUUCAGGAUUCCAACGCAGACUGAAGACCAACUGAGACAUCUAGUUCUGUGGACUGAACAACUACUGCAUUGUUGACUUUUCCACUGGGAGACCACCAUUGUUGGACUAGGGACAUCACAGCCUGUCAGCCACUUCAAUAAAUCCUGUGUGUGUGUGUG